This is a long non-coding RNA of Solanum tuberosum (potato), 1023 nucleotides long. RefSeq lists it as uncharacterized. The record is from RefSeq and is a predicted model, not a curated record. The transcript is spliced from 3 exons. NCBI's taxonomy places the organism in Eukaryota, Viridiplantae, Streptophyta, Magnoliopsida, Solanales, Solanaceae.
UUCAGACGAAGUAAAUGUUGAAGUUCUCUAACUUCAUAACCACAUACUAAAUGUACUUCGUUUAUAUGGAUUUGAGCUCAAACUAAACUCAGGUGACUUAAAACUUUCAUCUUUGCAAGAGUUACACCUUGAGGCUUCAUUUCUGGAUGAGCAAUUACUUCAAUAUCUAUGCACAACUUGUAAUCAUUUACAAGUUUUGUCUUUGAAGGGAUUUCAUGGAGACAUGGACUAAACAUCAUAGAGAUUUCUGUUGCUAAACACCAUGAAGAUCUCAAGUGCUUGGCAAUCAUUGCGUGUGAUAAUUUGGUUGUGGUUGAUGUGGAUGCUCCUAACUUAUUUGUAUUCACAUAUCAUGUUCAUUAUGGAACCACACUCAAACUGAAAGGUUCACAUUUGCUGGAAGCUCAUCUCACCUUGAUCCUAAAAACCAUUGACUCUCAUUGGUACUCUAAGCUCACAAAGUCUCUUGGUAACUUUGAUCAUUCCAAGUCUGUUAAUCUACGAUGCGAUUGUGAUGAGGUGAUAGUUAUACCAAAAGACAUGAGAGGAAACUUCAAUCCUCCACUUUAUGCUACUAAUGGUUUCCAUGUAAACAUUCAUAAUCUAGUGAAGCAUUCAGUUGUGGACGUUCUUGAUAGUUUGUUUUGGAUUUCUCCCCAACUCAGAACUGUAUCUUUUGACUAUGGCUUACAGACCAUGAAGUGUUAAUAUACAGAGAUGCAUCAGAUAAGGAUGAGAAACCUUGUUGUACAUGCGCAUCUCUACCUUUGAAAUGUUGAAGGCAUAAGUUAGAGGAAGUCAAAUUACGAAACUUUACGAGCAUGGAGCUGGAGAAGUUGAAAAACUAUUUUUUCACAAAUGCAGAUGAUUUGUAGAUAAUUUAAGUACCACCAGAAUGCAGACUUUGAGCCAAAUUCGUCCAUUACAAAAUUCCUUGGUUUUUCUGUGUUUUUGUUGCGUCUGGGGCUGUCUGAAUAAACUUCAGCAUGUCUCCAUAUUAUCAGCCCAUUGAGUAAUUUUCAU